CUCUCAUGAAUGGGAUUAGUAUCCUUAUGAAACAGUCUGUCUUAUUCCUUCUGCGAUGUGAGGACACAGCAAGAGGAGAGCCAUCAGUAAAUUAGGAAGUGAGCUGUCACCAGAUACCAAAUCUGCUAGUGCCUCAGUCUUGAACUUUCCAACCUUCAGAACUGUCCUUGUAUCAUUGGGCAGCACUGUAUGGAGAUUCACAGCCAAACAAAAUUGUAUUUAUCAUUGAUACCCUGCACAUUAUCAAGGAUGAUAUGUCAAGAGAAACUAAUUGUCAUGUAACACUGAAGGAUAGUAAGUGACGUUAUUGCUGUGAUCCAUCACCAGUACUUGGAAAACAUCCUCACUGUGCUUGGCAUCAGAAAUCUGCGAUGGGUUCUUUUGCCACCACUCCACGUUAUCUCCUACUCAGCUUGCUUCAGCGUGUGCCUGUAAGGGUGAAGCUUUCCAAAUUAGAAGGAAGAACAUUUUUUUAAAAUUACACAGGAGAGGAGUUGACCAAGAUGGUGACGUAGGAGGCUUCUGAGUUCCCCUCCUUCCACGGAUACACCGAAUGGACAGCUACACAUGGAGCAAUUCUCUCUGAAAGGAAUCCAGAAAUGAGCUGAACCAUUCCUGUACAUCAAACAUAUGAGAAAACACUCACCUCAAGACUGUAGGAAAGGCUGAAACACACUCUCACCAAAAACCCCACUCCCGGCACAGCAACAUACAAUUGGGAGGAAAUUCAUGAUUAUCAAUUUCUCCCUGAGGAGUAAAUGGUUUAGACUUCACAUCAAGAGCUCUAACUUUUCAGACUGCCACCUGAGGGACAGGUUCC
RNAcentral lists this long non-coding RNA (820 nucleotides) under Equus caballus (horse). RNAcentral's name for it is "lncRNA (ENSECAG00000033748.3)". The record is from RNAcentral. Lineage: Eukaryota; Metazoa; Chordata; Mammalia; Perissodactyla; Equidae.